Molecule: ribosomal RNA, 588 nt
Filed under: Triticum aestivum (bread wheat)
Lineage: Eukaryota; Viridiplantae; Streptophyta; Magnoliopsida; Poales; Poaceae
Description: partial small subunit ribosomal RNA
Source: RNAcentral
CACAAGAGGAAAUGUCCGGCUUUGGUCCUUAAAUUAGACUUCAGGAAAGCUUUCGACUCCAUCUCUUGGGACAACCUUUGCAACAUCCUCGAGGCAAAAGGCUUCUCGAACACUUGGAUCCUUUGGAUCAUGAUGUUAAAUAACACUAGCCAAUCAGCUAUCCUUCUUGACGGUGUCCCAGAAAAUUGGAUCCAAUGCAAAAGUGGCCUAAGACAAGGUGACUCCCUCUCACCGUACCUAUUUAUAAUCAUUGCCGACAUCCCGCAAUGCAUGAUAUUGGAUGCCUCUGCCCAAGGCUUGUUGCAUCAUCCAAUUCUUCUAAAUGCUCCUUGCCCGGUGCUUCAGUAUGCUGACGACACCCUCAUUAUCAUCAAGGCAGACCCGGAGCACCUAGCCCACCUUAAGUAUAUUCUACAGACAUUCUCCCUAGCCACUGGUCUUAGCAUCAACUUUGAAAAAACACUUUCGCCCCAAUACACGUUGACCCUCAGACCGCCUCCACAAUGGCAUCUACUUUGGGUUGUACCGUUGUUUCUUUUCCCCAAAACUACCUUGGAUUGCUCUUAUCUACGCACAAGCUUCGGCUGA